RNAcentral lists this small RNA (459 nucleotides) under Pan troglodytes (chimpanzee). Its description in RNAcentral is "retained intron". Lineage: Eukaryota; Metazoa; Chordata; Mammalia; Primates; Hominidae. The record is from RNAcentral.
GGAUGAGUUCUACCGCAGCGGCUGGGCCCUGAACAUGAAGGAGCUGAAGCUGCUGCAGACCAUCGGGAAGGGGGAGUUCGGAGGUGAGCUGGGCCGGGCCGCCUGGGGGGGUUCUGAGGGACUCCGAACUUGGGAACAAGACCACCUCUCUGCCCCCAGACGUGAUGCUGGGCGAUUACCGAGGGAACAAAGUCGCUGUCAAGUGCAUUAAGAACGACGCCACUGCCCAGGCCUUCCUGGCUGAAGCCUCAGUCAUGACGCAACUGCGGCAUAGCAACCUGGUGCAGCUCCUGGGCGUGAUCGUGGAGGAGAAGGGCGGGCUCUACAUCGUCACUGAGUACAUGGCCAAGGGGAGCCUCGUGGACUACCUGCGGUCUCGGGGUCGGUCAGUGCUGGGCGGAGACUGUCUCCUCAAGUUCUCGCUAGAUGUCUGCGAGGCCAUGGAAUACCUGGAGGGCA